GACGAACGCUGGCGGCGUGCCUAAUACAUGCAAGUCGAACGAGAGCGCCCGGUGCUUGCACUGGUCAAUCUAGUGGCGAACGGGUGAGUAACACGUGGGUAACCUGCCCAUCAGAGGGGGAUAACAUCCGGAAACGGAUGCUAAAACCGCAUAGGUCUUCGAACCGCAUGGUUUGAAGAGGAAAAGAGGCGCAAGCUUCUGCUGAUGGAUGGACCCGCGGUGCAUUAGCUAGUUGGUGAGGUAACGGCUCACCAAGGCCGUGAUGCAUAGCCGACCUGAGGGGGUGAUCGGCCACAUUGGGACUGAGACACGGCCCAAACUCCUACGGGAGGCAGCAGUAGGGAAUCUUCCGCAAUGGACGCAAGUCUGACGGAGCAACGCCGCGUGAGUGAAGAAGGUUUUCGGAUCGUAAAACUCUGUUGUUAGAGAAGAACAAGUGCUAGAGUAACUGUUAGCGCCUUGACGGUAUCUAACCAGAAAGCCACGGCUAACUACGUG
RNAcentral lists this ribosomal RNA (498 nucleotides) under uncultured bacterium. RNAcentral describes it as "partial 16S ribosomal RNA". It matches the Rfam family "Bacterial small subunit ribosomal RNA", at positions 28 to 507 of the family's 1533-position model. The record is from RNAcentral.